CUGGCUCAGGACGAACGCUGGCGGCGUGCCUAACACAUGCAAGUCGAACGGAGUUGAGGAGCUUGCUCCUUAACUUAGUGGCGGACGGGUGAGUAACGCGUGAGUAACCUGCCUCUGAGAGGGGAAUAACGUUCUGAAAAGAACGCUAAUAC
Molecule: ribosomal RNA, 152 nt
Filed under: Ruminococcaceae bacterium P7
Lineage: Bacteria; Bacillati; Bacillota; Clostridia; Eubacteriales; Oscillospiraceae
Description: 16S rRNA. Bacterial SSU
Rfam family: Bacterial small subunit ribosomal RNA
Source: RNAcentral